CGGCGAGGGGAGUGAAAAAGAACCUGAAACCGUGUACGUACAAGCAGUGGGAGCCUCUUUUAUGGGGUGACUGCGUACCUUUUGUAUAAUGGGUCAGCGACUUAUAUUCUGUAGCAAGGUUAACCGAAUAGGGGAGCCGAAGGGAAACCGAGUCUUAACCGGGCGUUAAGUUGCAGGGUAUAGACCCGAAACCCGGUGAUCUAGCCAUGGGCAGGUUGAAGGUUGGGUAACACUAACUGGAGGACCGAACCGACUAAUGUUGAAAAAUUAGCGGAUGACUUGUGGCUGGGGGUGAAAGGCCAAUCAAACCGGGAGAUAGCUGGUUCUCCCCGAAAGCUAUUUAGGUAGCGCCUCGUGAAUUCAUCUCCGGGGGUAGAGCACUGUUUCGGCAAGGGGGUCAUCCCGACUUACCAACCCGAUGCAAACUGCGAAUACCGGAGAAUGUUAUCACGGGAGACACACGGCGGGUGCUAACGUCCGUCGUGAAGAGGGAAACAACCCAGACCGCCAGCUAAGGUCCCAAAGUCAUGGUUAAGUGGGAAACGAUGUGGGAAGGCCCAGACAGCCAGGAUGUUGGCUUAGAAGCAGCCAUCAUUUAAAGAAAGCGUAAUAGCUCACUGGUCGAGUCGGCCUGCGCGGAAGAUGUAACGGGGCUAAACCAUGCACCGAAGCUGCGGCAGCGACACUGUGUGUUGUUGGGUAGGGGAGCGUUCUGUAAGCCUGUGAAGGUGUGCUGUGAGGCAUGCUGGAGGUAUCAGAAGUGCGAAUGCUGACAUAAGUAACGAUAAAGCGGGUGAAAAGCCCGCUCGCCGGAAGACCAAGGGUUCCUGUCCAACGUUAAUCGGGGCAGGGUGAGUCGACCCCUAAGGCGAGGCCGAAAGGCGUAGUCGAUGGGAAACAGGUUAAUAUUCCUGUACUUGGUGUUACUGCGAAGGGGGGACGGAGAAGGCUAUGUUGGCCGGGCGACGGUUGUCCCGGUUUAAGCGUGUAGGCUGGUUUUCCAGGCAAAUCCGGAAAAUCAAGGCUGAGGCGUGAUGACGAGGCACUACGGUGCUGAAGCAACAAAUGCCCUGCUUCCAGGAAAAGCCUCUAAGCAUCAGGUAACAUCAAAUCGUACCCCAAACCGACACAGGUGGUCAGGUAGAGAAUACCAAGGCGCUUGAGAGAACUCGGGUGAAGGAACUAGGCAAAAUGGUGCCGUAACUUCGGGAGAAGGCACGCUGAUAUGUAGGUGAAGUCCCUCGCGGAUGGAGCUGAAAUCAGUCGAAGAUACCAGCUGGCUGCAACUGUUUAUUAAAAACACAGCACUGUGCAAACACGAAAGUGGACGUAUACGGUGUGACGCCUGCCCGGUGCCGGAAGGUUAAUUGAUGGGGUCAGCGCAAGCGAAGCUCUUGAUCGAAGCCCCGGUAAACGGCGGCCGUAACUAUAACGGUCCUAAGGUAGCGAAAUUCCUUGUCGGGUAAGUUCCGACCUGCACGAAUGGCGUAAUGAUGGCCAGGCUGUCUCCACCCGAGACUCAGUGAAAUUGAACUCGCUGUGAAGAUGCAGUGUACCCGCGGCAAGACGGAAAGACCCCGUGAACCUUUACUAUAGCUUGACACUGAACAUUGAGCCUUGAUGUGUAGGAUAGGUGGGAGGCUUUGAAGUGUGGACGCCAGUCUGCAUGGAGCCGACCUUGAAA
Molecule: ribosomal RNA, 1684 nt
Filed under: Escherichia coli
Lineage: Bacteria; Pseudomonadati; Pseudomonadota; Gammaproteobacteria; Enterobacterales; Enterobacteriaceae
Description: partial 23S ribosomal RNA
Rfam family: Bacterial large subunit ribosomal RNA
Source: RNAcentral